CUCGCUAUCACUCAAUAUAUUAUGAAUAGCUUCGCAGAUAUUCCUACUUAGAAUCCAUCGAUCAAUGCUUAUACUAAUGCCUUUUGCCUUGGAAGUCCUUGUCAUACACAGGCCUCCGCCCGCUCAGCCACAAGAAGCACCCAAGAGCCACUUGAUAGAUAUUGCCAUGCUGUUUAGGAUAAGAUUUGUUUGCUUAAUCAUAUAAAUAUGGGAAGUAUUUUUAUUGGGUUGUACUCAUUUUAGAUGGCUUGUAAUUGGCAUUGCUGUCAUUGGUUUCGGAGACCUUCGCUUGCUCCGAUGGGCGAUGCAUCCUACGUUGCAGCUUUGAUCCUUUCAGUACUGACUUGAUGUGGGAUACUUGUUGGGGGCGUAGAUUUUUUCUAGACUGUUAGUGAUUCUUUAGAUUAUGGAGAAGGUGUUGUUUGAUUCAAAGUUGGAGCUGGUGUUCUUAGGGAGGACAUGUUCAAAACCGUUGAUCAGCAGCCACAGGGGCGACCUAAGAUUCUCAGGACAAGUGUGUUUCUUUCGAGACACAGGCUUUCGGGCGAAGGUUUCUUAUUCGAUUGCUAGAACAUCUGGUGAAAAUAUUGAUUCCAUAGCCCCAGAAAAAUUGAUGAAAAGUGACUCUUCUAUUAUAAAUGGAUCAAAAGUUGCUGCUAGUCUAUGGCCAUCUCCCACAGAGAAUUAUGUACUUGAUGCUUAUGAAGAUGAGUAUGGAGGAAUCAUCAUCAGGUCAGAGGGAUUGCCUUGGAAUGCAAAUACCUUUGCUUCUGCCCUGCGAGCAUCUCUUUCCCACUGGAAAGUGGAGGGAAAGAAAGGGGUAUGGCUAAAAUUGCCAUUGGAUCGCUCUGAGCUUGUUCCUAUUGCAGUUAAGGAGGGAUUCAAGUACCAUCAUGCAGAGCAAACAUAUGUAAUGCUAACAUAUUGGAUUCCUGAAGGACCUUGCUUGCUUCCUGCCAACGCAUCACAUCAGGUUGGGGUUGGGGGUUUUGUGAUCAAUGAUAAAAACGAGGUGCUUGUGGUGCAAGAGAAAUAUUGUGCUUCAACUUGGAAACUACCUACAGGGUUCAUCCUUGAGUCUGAGGAUAUCUUUACUGGGGCUGUGAGAGAGGUCAAGGAGGAAACUGGAAUCAAUACGGAAUUUGUAGAAAUGGUUGCUUUUAGGCAUGCACACCAUGUGGCGUUUGGAAAAUCAGAUCUAUUUUUCAUCUGCAUGCUGAGACCUUUAUCAAGCCAGAUUAAGAUAGAUGACCUGGAAAUACAAGCAGCCAAGGCAGUGAUAACUACAUGCUUACAUCCAACAUAAAAGCAUAGCAAUAUUCUUCGGAUCUUCGCAUUCUCACCUGCGAACCUCAUGUAGAUUUAUUUUUAUUGUGGAUGCCUCUGUCUGAAUUCCUAGAGCAACCAUGCAUUCAGGAUGACAACAUGUUCAAGAAAAUUAUCGACAUUUGCGUCGCACGGCUUGGCAAGCGCUACUGUGGCUUAGCAGCUCACCAGGUGAUCUCAAAAUUUGAUGGGAGAUCAUCUUCACUGUACUAUAAUGUUGUGGAGCCUCAGGAUUUCCUUUGCCAAGGAUCUUAGAAAGGCAUGAAUGUGUUUCUGCUUUCUUGUUGCCACGCGUGGAGUAACUUUGGAUGAAGCUGAUGAAAUCAAAAUCCUGGCGCUCUUCUGCUUGACAUUUGUGUAUGAACGAUGUAGUAAAACAUAUUCUUUUUUAUGCUCAAUUAAGCUUCAUGGUCACAAUCAACGAAAGGGAACCAUGCCACCUGUAGAAGUGUUCCUUGACCAUGAUAAAUUGUCUCAAAUAAAGGAGACAAGAACAUAGGCAUAUUCCUGUUAAGAAUGAGAACUAUUUAGCA
This is a non-coding RNA of Phoenix dactylifera (date palm), 1859 nucleotides long. The record is from RefSeq and is a predicted model, not a curated record. NCBI's taxonomy places the organism in Eukaryota, Viridiplantae, Streptophyta, Magnoliopsida, Arecales, Arecaceae.